GAUGAACGCUGACAGCAUGCUUAACACAUGCAAGUCAACUGUGGCGGACGGGUGAGUAACGCGUAAAGAACUUGCCUCACGGAUAGGGACAACAUUUGGAAACGAAUGCUAAUACCUGAUACUGUGAGAGAGCUUUGCUUCCCAUUAGCUAGUGGGAGAGGUAACGGCUCACCAAGGCGAUGAUGGUUAGCCGGCCUGCGAGGGUGAUCGGCCACAAGGGGACUGAGACACGGCCCUGACUCCUACGGGAGGCAGCAGUGGGGAAUUGUGGACAAUGUACCAAAGUCUGAUCAAGCAAUUCGGUUUGCACGAUGAAGUUUUCGGAAUGUAAAGUGCUUUCAGUUGGGAAGCAGUACCAACAGAAGAAGUGACGGCUAAAUACGUGCCAGCAGCCGCGGUAAUAC
This 404-nucleotide ribosomal RNA is filed under the name uncultured bacterium. RNAcentral describes it as "partial 16S ribosomal RNA". It matches the Rfam family "Bacterial small subunit ribosomal RNA", at positions 28 to 526 of the family's 1533-position model. The record is from RNAcentral.